AUAGCCCUAUACUGGAUAAAUGGCUGAGGAAUUCGUCGAAGACGAAGGAUGGAAACACUGCCAGCCCUUCUAAGGGGAUAUCUAGGUUGCAUAAGCCAGAGGCAACUUCACCCACUGAGCAACUAUCAAAGGUUGCUGAUCCCAAGCUGUCGAGUGAAUGUUGCAGCAUGGAUAAGGCAGCUGUUGACAAUACAAAACUCUUAGCCAGACAUGCAUCAGCUAAAGCAGUUAAAGUUGCUAGGAAAUACAAGAAGAUAGUUUUCCGAAGAAAUCUGACGCUCCCUGCUGCUGAUGCAACUCAAGGAAUAAAAGGCGCCCCAACGGAACCUCCCAAUAAGGGAUCACAAGCCACAGAAGCAAUUGGAGUGAAAGAAAAAACCAAAAAAAUUGAAGCAACAAACUUAGGAGGUUAAGGUGUUGCCAAGAUGCAAAUUCAUCAAGGAAGGCUGAACC
This 453-nucleotide long non-coding RNA is filed under the name Brachypodium distachyon (stiff brome). Its description in RNAcentral is "long non-coding RNA (BDIS_LNC005691)". The record is from RNAcentral. Lineage: Eukaryota; Viridiplantae; Streptophyta; Magnoliopsida; Poales; Poaceae.